Long non-coding RNA from Bombus pyrosoma, 3313 nucleotides. RefSeq lists it as uncharacterized. NCBI's taxonomy places the organism in Eukaryota, Metazoa, Arthropoda, Insecta, Hymenoptera, Apidae. The record is from RefSeq and is a predicted model, not a curated record. The transcript has 2 exons.
AGACAUUUCGUAACGAAUAAAUAAAGGCGCGAGACCUAGUGAUACAAAUCUUUUAUGUCCUGCUUUUCUCUGUAGAGAAGAGGCUAGCUUACAUGAAGAUGCAACUUGCCGUUUGAUGGGUGCUGAUAUUAUUGAUGACAACAGGACUCGCGUUAGCAGACCUCGGAAGUCAAAUACGAAAUGACAAUAGAAACAAAAUUUCUUGGUAAUCGUAUCGAUAAAACAGUAAAACGUCGGUAGGCCGACGUUACAAAUGUCACGUCUAUUCUGUACCUCGUGGAUAAGAUAAUCACUGACGAGCCAUCUCUGAUAAUUCCCAUGUUCGCCGUAGAAAAUCGUAGAGGGCGUAAGAAACAUUUUGACUUUUUGACAGGCGGUAUUUCAUAACCUAUGACACAAAGUUCCAUUUCGUUAUAUCUAUUCUGUCCUUAGUUAAUAUUUUAUUUGGCUGGCGCAUAAUGCCGUGAAAGUGCUGGUAACCAGUACUGACGCAUACGCUGCCACAAUUAUAGGAAUAAUUAUAAGCAGAAUUCACAGUAGCGAUAACUUUUAAUGUCUAUACAUAUACCAAAUAAGUUAUUAAUAUAUUUCUUGAAAAAUUCUUCUAUAUUUAAAACAAAAGCUUUCAACGCAGAGUGAAAGACGAAUUUUAUUUUCGAGACAAGCUACUUCUAUAAUAUGACAGAAAGAUGAUGCAAGGAUUUUAGAAAACUCUGACAAUCGCUACUGUAUCUCAUCUCUGGUAUUAGACUAUCAAAUAGAAUGAAGCAGACAAGAAGGUUGUUUAAAAAAGAAUGUAUGAAAUUAUAAUGUACGAGGAAGUGCAAUUUCAGGAUGAAAUAAUCUCAACAACGUUAAUCUUUUCAUUUUAUUGUACCAAAAAAUUUCAUCUCGUUCAAUCAUUAUUAAUUCAAUAUAAUAUAUUUAUCCUUUAUAUUUGUUAUAUCUUAUUUAUAAUAAAUAUUUAUAAUAGUGUAGUAUUCAUCGUUAUUCUUUAUUGUGUCGCCAUGAGCCAUGAAAACGUGGAAUCAGCAAGUUCUUAAUUACCGUUACUAUACUAACUAGAAAGACGUUUUGUGAUCCUUUUUAAUAAAUCCACGAAACAUAUUAACAGAAGCACGCCACGUGGUUGCGUGCUUCUCUCUUUCUCUUCCUCUCUCUCUCUCUUUUUUUGUAUGUUUUCUUUUCGUUUUCUUUUUUUACUUUACUUUUUUUUCUAAAAAGAGUAAAGUGCGGAGACACUUGUGUAAAUUCCCAGAUAUUUUUACCGGAAAAACAGUUUGUUCCUUCUCCUUAUUUUCCCUUCUUUUAACCGUGUAUUUUAAUUGAUGAUAGCAUUCAGACAUAGACAAUUCAUACGUUAAAACAAUAGAUACCUAAGGAAAUUUUACAACUCGCUUAAGGCUCUAGUUCCCUUAAAUCAGUUCGAAUUAGAAUCCAAACGAGGAACGUGUAUAUGUGUAUGUUAAUAUUCUCCGAUAAUUUCGGAUUCGUAUCGACAAUAUCUUCACCGAACGAUUAUUCGCAAAUACAUGAUCUUCUCUUUUUACGCCGUGAUCGUUUCUAUUGAUCGAACAAUAAAUCGAACAAUUGAAACCCUCGUAUGUAACUGAUUUUAAUGUACUAAGGCCUUAAUGUGUCAAAGCAGCGGAGCUAAUUACCGUUAUAUAAUAAGAAAAUAUAUAUACCUCUACGGACACCAAUAAUUCGAUCUCACGAUUGUACGUGGAACGUAGACACAGUUCCCAAAAACAUUACUUCUUUUUCUCAUUUUCUUUUAUUUAUCUAUUUAUCUUCUUAUUUUUCUUUUUUUUUUUUUUUUUUUACUAUCAAGUCGAUUUUCGGAAAUUCGCAAACAAGUGCUCCAAAAAUUUUCCACGUCGCUACGUUCCUCUUUUUAAUUCCUCUAAAGCUUAACUUUGACUUCUUUACUUAUUUUUUUCUUUUUCUUUUUUCUUUAACAAGUACCUCGAUUCCCUGUAAACCCUGCAGUACUCACGCGAGUCAACGAGUUUGUUGGUCGGCUGGCGUUCCGACAGGUUUACAUAUAGCACGUGUUGUAUCUUUACGGCUUUCUGCGAAAACUGAAUUGAACACAUUAGACUGCAACAAGAACAUUUUUUUCCUUUUCUUUGUUCUUUUUAUUGACGAUUCUGUGUCGCUAAGUAUUACGAGUAGACUGUGGAUGUUUAUGCAAACUCACAUUUCUAUAUAAACAUAAUCAGAGAAAAACGAAGUCUACAGAGAGAAUAUCAUAACAAAUAUCGUACUGUAAAUAUUUUUACAGACUGUGUGCAUUCUAUACUUUCUUGUAUUUUUUAAGUUUCCCAUUAAUGCAUAAAAAUCCGCAAUCUAAUUAUGAUGUAUCACCGACUGACUUACUGCAGAGUUAAUGACAAUCGUGUUUUGUAUGUUUCAGCAUCUUAAUGUUAAUCUGACAUUACAUGCUACGUAUUGAGAAUACUUCUACCGACGCAGUACCUAAGUUUUAAAGCCCUGCAUACUCGAACCUGAUUUUUGUUUACUUCUUUGUUCUUUUUUUUCUGAGCGACUGUGACAAGUCAAUAAUAAAACGUCUUCACUUUCACGUGACUGAGACUCACCGACUAACAGUCGCUUAAAAGAAAAUAUGUUUCUUCCUUUUCUUUCUUUCCUUCCUCUUAUCGUUUCUCUCCUCUCUCUCUCUUUUAUAUCUGUUAUUGUGCAUCACCUUCCUCUUAAUCGUCCAUCACAUAUAUAUAAUUGCAUUUAUGUAUCAACUAUUUCGCGAUCGAAUCAGACGAUCGAAUAGAAUGUUCCUCAACUUCCGUCACUGCAUCCCAUCUCGUAUAAUGAGAUUUACUACGCUUACAAAUUUCAAAAUAUUACAGCGUACUUCAAUGUAUCAGACGCAUAAUGGAGAAUAUAUUUCGUGACUCGUUUUAUUCGUUACCUUAAAAUUUAAUUUUCAUUUAACUUUAACUUCUAAAAUUAAAAAGAAGAAAGAAGAGAAAAAAGUAACAAGCUCGUACCUUCACGAUAAUCCUAUGAUCGUUCUUUUCACAAUAAGUACAUUAUCGACGAUUCACGAAGAAAAUUUCACAACGAUUCUCUUCGCUCGUUUAUGCUGAAACAUUUAAACACAGAAUUUCGCGUUUUCAUAGUAUACGAAUUCCUUAUUGUGGCCAUGUUGGAUAUCGACUUCACGUACAAUAUCGUGAAAUUCGUCUAAGAUGCUGCAAAAGUUCAACUUUGCAUCGUUAUGCGUCGUUCAUAACAGUUUUUCUUUUCCUUUUUUUUUUUUUUUUUUUUUUUUAAUAUAUAUAUAUGACUA